Molecule: ribosomal RNA, 500 nt
Filed under: uncultured bacterium
Lineage: Bacteria
Description: partial 16S ribosomal RNA
Rfam family: Bacterial small subunit ribosomal RNA
Source: RNAcentral
AUUGAACGCUGGCGGCAUGCCUUACACAUGCAAGUCGAACGGCAGCACGGGAGCAAUCCUGGUGGCGAGUGGCGAACGGGUGAGUAAAGUAUCGGAACGUGCCCAGUCGUGGGGGAUAACGUAGCGAAAGUUACGCUAAUACCGCAUACGAUCUAUGGAUGAAAGCGGGGGAUCGCAAGACCUCGCGCGAUUGGAGCGGCCGAUAUCAGAUUAGGUAGUUGGUGGGGUAAAGGCUCACCAAGCCGACGACCUGUAGCUGGUCUGAGAGGACGACCGGCCACACCGGGACUGAGACACGGCCCAGACUCCUACGGGAGGCAGCAGUGGGGAAUUUUGGACAAUGGGCGAAAGCCUGAUCCAGCCAUGCCGCGUGCAGGAUGAAGGCCUUCGGGUUGUAAACUGCUUUUGUACGGAACGAAAAGGUUUGGCCUAAUAAGCUGAGCUCAUGACGGUACCGUAAGAAUAAGCACCGGCUAACUACGUGCCAGCCGCCGCCGUAA